RNAcentral lists this ribosomal RNA (455 nucleotides) under uncultured eukaryote. Its description in RNAcentral is "bacterial SSU rRNA". It matches the Rfam family "Eukaryotic small subunit ribosomal RNA", at positions 592 to 1056 of the family's 1831-position model. The record is from RNAcentral.
CAAUAGCGUAUAUUAAAGUUGUUGCAGUUAAAAAGCUCGUAGUUGGAUUUCUGGGAGAGUGCCAAUGUCCGCCGCGUGCGUGUUGCAGCGGCGCUCUUCCAUCCUUCUGUUAACCUUUCUGGUAUUCACUUACUGGUUUGGGGCUCAGAUAUUUUACCUUGAGAAAAUUAGAGUGUUUCAGGCAGGCUUGCGCCCGAAUACAUUAGCAUGGAAUAAUAGAAUAGGACUUUGGUCUCCUUUGUUGGUUUGAGGGACUAGAGUAAUGAUUAAUAGGGAUAGUCGGGGGCAUCAGUAUUCAAUUGUCAGAGGUGAAAUUCUUGGAUUUAUUGAAGACUAACUACUGCGAAAGCAUUUGCCAAGGAUGUUUUCAUUAAUCAGGGAACGAAAGUUAGGGGAUCGAAGACGAUCAGAUACCGUCGUAGUCUUAACCGUAAACUAUGCCGACUGGGGAUCGG